AACGAACGCUGGCGGCAUGCCUAACACAUGCAAGUCGAACGAGACCUUCGGGUCUAGUGGCGCACGGGUGCGUAACGCGUGGGAACCUGCCCUUAGGUUCGGAAUAACUCCCCGAAAGGGGUGCUAAUACCGGAUAAUGUCUUCGGACCAAAGAUUUAUCGCCUUUGGAUGGGCCCGCGUUGGAUUAGCUAGUUGGUAGGGUAAAAGCCUACCAAGGCGACGAUCCAUAGCUGGUCUGAGAGGAUGAUCAGCCACACUGGGACUGAGACACGGCCCAGACUCCUACGGGAGGCAGCAGUGGGGAAUAUUGGACAAUGGGCGAAGGCCUGAUCCAGCAAUGCCGCGUGAGUGAUGAAGGCCUUAGUGUUGUAAAGCUCUUUUACCCGGGAUGAUAAUGACAGUACCGGGUGAAUAAGCUCCGGCUAACUCCGUG
Molecule: ribosomal RNA, 433 nt
Filed under: uncultured bacterium
Lineage: Bacteria
Description: partial 16S ribosomal RNA
Rfam family: Bacterial small subunit ribosomal RNA
Source: RNAcentral